This 1498-nucleotide long non-coding RNA is filed under the name Salmo salar (Atlantic salmon). Its description in RNAcentral is "lncRNA (ENSSSAG00000109678.1)". Lineage: Eukaryota; Metazoa; Chordata; Actinopteri; Salmoniformes; Salmonidae. The record is from RNAcentral.
GUAACUCUGUGUUGUUGUUUGUGUCUCACUGCUCUGCUUUAUCUUGGCCAGGUCACAGUUGUAAAUGAAAACUUGUUCUCAACUGGCCUACCAGGUUAAAUAAAGACGUAUCAAUCUUUUCAGCUGGUUUUCAGGUCAAAGAGACUCAGCACACCCAGCAGUGCAAAGAUUCCUCAAUCUUUGCGUAGUCUGGGGUGAUGAGUCAGAUUGGCUCAGGAGGACCAGCCAGCAAAGUGCGAAGAUUUCUCCAUCUUCUCAGCUGGUGCUGAGGACAAACAGACCCUAGUGCAAAGGGAAUCUUUGUUUACAGUUGUUUUGUGCAAUGAAGCAUUUAACUCUAUAGUAGUCAUAGAUUGAUAUUUGGAUUGCAGUUUAUUAAAUUAAUAUGAUGGUCUGAUGGACUAUUGAUACUCAAACUGUCCUGAACUUGUCUGGAAAAGUCUAUUGUGUUUCGCUAAUUUGAAAGCAAAUUCAGUUUGAAAGCAUACUCAAUGCUGUACAUAUUUUAGUGUUGAGGGUACUAUAAUCAAACACACUCCUUUUGAUAUUAAUGCCAGUCAUUUUAUUUUUUCUUGUCAGAUUUCAGUUGCUGCAGCUGAGUCAAAGACUCUGAACCCUCAGGAGGAUGAGCCAGCAAAGCGCAACUGUGAAAAAAACAGAAUGAUUUCUCUGUUUUUGCUGCAGUUAGAGGAAAGAUUCAAGACACUUAGACAGACCAGGCAGCAAAGGUCAAAAGGACCUGGACAUUGACAUGGGCUGGUCAGAGACGAGCAGUGAAGGUGUGGCCAAGGUCCCCCCCCCCCCCAGCCCAGCAGGCCAAAUACUUCCAGCAGGAGAGAGGCAAGAACCAUUUGUCCACCAGCCCAGGAAAAAGUUCCCAGUCCUAUGUUAUGUGCAAUGUAAUUGCAUUGCUGGACAUUUCUAACUAAAUAUAUGUGUACUGUUUAAAAAAUUACAAAUGAAAGGAAAUGUAUGGCUUUAAUAUGUCUUUGACUUUAUAGUAAGAACAGCGUCAUAUGACACAAGGCAUUUAUGUAUGUGUUAUAAAUGACCAAAGGGGUCUGACUUUAUUAAAGAAUGUACAGCGUCAUGCGCUAUAGUCUUUCUGGAUGUGUUCUGAAUGACCAAAGGUGUCUCACUCACUAUAUUAUAAAGUGUCAAUAAAUAGGUUACUGUAGGGUGUGAGAGGUAUUUCAAUGGGUUGAUGGUGUAAUGGGAAAUGUUUAUUGUAUGUGUCCACAUAACUGUGAUUGUGACUAACCUUGUCAAACUGUGUGAAACUGUCCUGUUCUCGGAAGUAUCACCCCGUGUUGCAAACCAGCUUGCACCUGCGUCCUUGUAUAGAUCCGCCCAAGAACAGGAGACUAUAAAGAUAUGUGCCUAUCACCCAAUGCUUCGGAACUUAGACUGUCUACACUGCGCUGUUUAAGUCUGUUUCUCUCUGAGCUCAGAAAUAAACAAUCUUAGUUUGACUUGGACUCCAGCAAAUCCUUAUUUG